AUUGAACGCUGGCGGCAGGCCUAACACAUGCAAGUCGAGCGGAUGAAGGGAGCUUGCUCCUGGAUUCAGCGGCGGACGGGUGAGUAAUGCCUAGGAAUCUGCCUUGUCGUUGGGGAUAACGUCCGUACACGGGCGCUAAUACCGCAUACGUCCUGAUGGAGAAAGUGGGGGAUCUUCGGACCUCACGCUAUCAGAUGAGCCUAGGUCGGAUUAGCUAGUUGGUGGGGUAAAGGCCUACCAAGGCGACGAUCCGUAACUGGUCUGAGAGGAUGAUCAGUCACACUGGAACUGAGACAAGGUCCAGAAUCCUAAGGGAGGCAGCAGUGGGGAAUAUUGGACAAUGGGCGAAAGCCUGAUCCAGCCAUGCCGCGUGUGUGAAGAAGGUCUUCGGAUUGUAAAGCACUUUAAGUUGGGAGGAAGGGCAGUAAGUUAAUACCUUGCUGUUUUGACGGUACCAACAGAAUAAGCACCGGCUAACUUCGUG
Molecule: ribosomal RNA, 484 nt
Filed under: uncultured bacterium
Lineage: Bacteria
Description: partial 16S ribosomal RNA
Rfam family: Bacterial small subunit ribosomal RNA
Source: RNAcentral